Molecule: long non-coding RNA, 2260 nt
Organism: Thunnus maccoyii (southern bluefin tuna)
Lineage: Eukaryota; Metazoa; Chordata; Actinopteri; Scombriformes; Scombridae
Exons: 2
Source: RefSeq, a predicted model, not a curated record
CAGUUGAGGCUUUCAACCAAUGGCGGCACUUUAGACUUAUGGUUAACCAGGUCAAGCACUGUAUAGUAAGAGUCUUAUGAUAACAGAAUAGUCCAAAUUAGAUUGAGUUGAGUUUCUUGUAUGGCAGCAAAAUGCACUUCAGUCACGUUCUCUUGUGUGUCAGUAUAAUAUCUAUCUGCUCUGCUCUGUGUGAUCACCUUAUGUUAAUGGUGUCUGCGUGAACGACUGAAUGACUGACUGACAAGGUCGUUUCCAAAGGCAAAGUCAGAGCCACACAUGGCUGUUCUGCUGGCUGCAGCACUCCGCCUCUGUCACUGUGAUGGAUCUCCUCCACCUGGCAACCUCCCUUUGCUGGCUAGGAGCAAAAGCAAGUCGAGGUGAUACAAGAGACAGUUAAAGCUUGUGGAGAGGUACAUGUGGAUUCUCAGGCAUUUGCAGGCAUGACUAAGGGAAGGGAACGAAAAGAGAGACAUCGAAUGUGGAUCGUUUGCCGAGAAGGACCGGUGAGAGAGGAGACAGUGAUAAACCGACAGAGGGAAAAGGAAGAGACAGAGAGACAUAAGCAUCAGGAGUCUGACAUAGAAAGAAAUACAGAGAAGAAAAGAAGAAAAAAAAAGCAGACAGGGAAAUGAGAUGGUGGGAGAAAGGAAAGCAGUUUCAUGGCUUCUCACAUGACACGAGAUGUCAUCAUGCAGCAUCUGAGGUUCUGUGCCUGACUGCUGAUUUCUGAUUAUACUGUUCCUACUGUGUGUUUGGUGAUUGCUUUCUGCUUUAGGACUUUCUCAGACAAACGCAGACAAAUUACAUGAUUUUCAGCCAGACUGUAAUGCUUUGUCAGCUUUACUUAGCCAGACUGCAUAUUGAGAACUCUUUUUUUUUUUUUUUUUUUUUGUGCUGCCAGUCUUGAGUUUGACCAGGCAUACCGGUCCAUUCAGCAAAAGUUUGGAUGAUAAUGUAACUCAGCAGCUCUCCAAACUUCCAAACUCUGUUAACUAUUUUAAAGAGAUGUUGUAGAUAUAAAACAAAGAAGUAGUGCAGUGUACUUGAAAAGACAUCUGUCUGUUGUCUGACCACAGUGAGCGAUGGCUGCGCCAGGUUAUUGCUUCUUUGAAUUUUAUAGACCGUAUUAAGAUAAUGCAUCUGUCCUCCAUUCAGAAAGUUACUAGUGCAUUUAGAAAAUGGAAAAUACAUCCUGGAAACGAAAGUAGGUUUAGUGCGACUUGAUUUUUUUGAACCUACCCUGAACUGUCUGAGAUUAUAGAGCGACAGAGAGGCAGCUGAGUCAUUUUACAAUCUUUCCAGCUGUCAUUGUUGGUAUAUUUUUUGUUUUAUUCUUUGUCAAAAGGCCCUUAAGUUCACUAUAUGGACUUUCACAUACAGUCCUUACUUGCCCCUCAAUGUCAACAGGAGAAAGUUGUUAUAGUUUUUCUGAAAUUCUUUACAUUUUAAAGUAUUUCAAGGCAAAAACUGCAACAUAAGUCUAGUUUACAUGUGUCCCAUGGAGCACCUGCUGCAUUUACACACAUUUUACUGAAUCAGCUGUUUAAGUCAGUGGUUUCCAACCUUUUUUGAUGCCCUUGUGAUCCCCUCAAAAUAAAGCAAAGUCUACCUGGGACCCUCUGUCACACAUUUCAUUAUCCACUUCUACACAGCCUGUUCAAGGCGGGAAUGUUGGACUGUUCAUCCGCCUCCCCAUUCUGUAUAACAGGUAGGUGGCAGCAUGGCGGGACAGUCGACUCUCGAUGCCGACGCUGUUGUGUUGCACAUCGAGCCUCGGACUCCAGAACGCUGGCAUGCUAUCUAAAAUCACACACGGGGGUGACGUCAUGCCGGCUUUGUUUGGUUCAGUGUGAAAAAGCAAAGCCGGCAUAAUGACAGGUCUUCUAUAUGGUAAUGUUGUGGGAUCUCUGUAUAAAAGGGGCUAUUGUCUAGCAGUUCAACAACAGAGCACCUAUUUUGUUUUAUUUCAGUAACUUUUAGAGGCUUGCAGAUAUGAGAUACAGUAAUUCACAAUAAAUAUAGCUUGAAGGAAAAAAAUGUGUCAGAAAUAUGUUUUUUUUUCUGUCUUCUGCCUCUUAGAGUAAUCCAGAGACAACUCUGGGAGUCCCCGGUUGGAAACCACUGAUUGGCAACUGCAGCGUCAUCUUUUUCACUAUAUGGAGAAAACAGAGACAUUAAAUCACUUAUCUCUGUCCACCAAACUGUUAGUUUUCAGCUUUUGUCAGCCUUUUUUACUUUACUCACUGUUGUUACAAGUGAC